This 1824-nucleotide long non-coding RNA is filed under the name Homo sapiens (human). RNAcentral describes it as "HSALNT0405077". The record is from RNAcentral. Lineage: Eukaryota; Metazoa; Chordata; Mammalia; Primates; Hominidae.
GCUGAGAACUCACACAGACCCAUGAUCACACAGGACCGAGACACUAAUGAAUAGGUGUUGGUGCCUUUCCCCAGAUUAGCUCUCCCAAUUUUGGAGUGGCCAAAGGAUGGGGGAUAUGUCCUCCCUCCUGCCACACAAUCUGGUUUAUAACUAAAUCUAACCCCAUCCUUGUGAGCAUUUUCUUUUCUCCCUGCUGAAAUGCUUGUGGUGUUUUUUGGGAGCUAGUAGCAGGCCCCAGCAUCCUUUGAUUGCCCCCUAAUGGAAUCUCUUUGAUGACUGAGGAGGAUGAAGGAGAGAGGAAUCCGGGCCAUGACAGAGAUGGCCCCAGUUCUCUAAUUUUUGAGGCACUCACUAUGUCUGCAAUUGAGACCUCUAUUCCCCAAGAGUCCCUUAUUCUGUCUUUGUUAAAUUUCAGAAUGUACAUUUGUUCCUGCUGUGUGAUUGUCCAUCUGUCUGUGCCUGGACAACCACUCCAUCCCCACUGGAUGCAGUAAACAGCACCACUGCCCACUGGCAUUGUGAACCUGGUGUCCAUCACUGAGCUCUGCUGGGGAUAGUCUAUGUGGCAGCUGCUGUAGCUCUUGCUCAGAGUGCUGGAUCCCAGAGUAUUGCAGAAGCCCAAGUGGCCAGACCUAGAGCAAGAGCCCAAAAUCAGAACCCUGCAAGCUGGAGACCAGCAGGCAUUACCAUCUGGGGCUCCCGUAGGAGCUGGCGGUGCCAGGCCACGCUGUCCACUCGACUCUGCUGCUUGUUCCAGUGCAUGAGGAGGUGACCUUAACUUCCAGACAAUGUGGCCAGAUGAGGGAACACAGACUGCAUGGAGGACCUUGGAAGAGUUUGCGGGGCACAGCCCUGCUGGCACAAAGCCUGACACAGAAGGACACAGACACCCCUGCACGGUGAACAGUGACUGAUACUUGUCAUUUACAAGCCUCUUCUUCAGCUCAUCCCCAUGUUGAAAGCAAGAGCUGCUGAGGUAGGGUUACAUGCUGCCAAAAAUGAAAACUGAGGUUCAGAGAGUAUGUGAUUGCUUCAAUGGGCCCAGAGUAGUGAUGAGUUAUCCCCAGUGCUGAUGUGACAAAAUCUUGCCAUUCUACUCAUAGUGUUGCUUCUUCCAGGGCAGUGGAUGUAGGAGUCUCUUCUGGGAGCUGAACCUUUGCAGGAGGCUGGACUAGCAGGGAGAGAUGCAGAGAACUGUGGGCACAGGACAGGGUCCACCGAUUGCGAAAGCAAGAAUGGAAUGAGAAGUAUGAGCAAUGGAUCGAUAUACUAGUCGAACUGAAAUAAGAUAUUGUCAGAACUAUUUGUCCAAGGAAAAUCAGAUGUUCACAACAGAAGUUACAUUCUGAGCUAGAUUUAUCAGAGCCUCCAGCCAGGAUCACUGCACCAGGCCUAGAGAGCAGAGGGAAGAUUUGUGUCUCACUUUCCCAUGGGCCUGGAGCCCUGUGUAAGCCUCAGAGCCACUGUGAAAUCCACUGCCCCUGUGCAGACCCCGAGACAGACCCAUUCUCAGGCUGCAGCACAGCAACGUGCAAAAUCCUUGCACAGGCCGACGCAUCUUUAGAUCCCAAGAUGUGGCUGGGAGCCUCAGAGCCCUGUUUCUUACUUGAGUCCAAGUAGAAGUUCACGAGAUAUUAGAUAGGGUUCCCUGGAUUCUGCCAGAACCAGUCACCGAUUUCUUCUGAUGGAAUCACUGAUUCAUUGUGGUGAUUAUCCAAGGGUGUAUAAAUAUCUUAAAACACACAAAAUUGGGCACUUUAAAUAUCAGGGGUUUAUUUUGUUAAUUAUUCCUCAAUAAAAAGACACAUAAAAAAUAGGCUGAAA